Populus nigra (black poplar) is the source of this 1223-nucleotide long non-coding RNA. RefSeq lists it as uncharacterized. Lineage: Eukaryota; Viridiplantae; Streptophyta; Magnoliopsida; Malpighiales; Salicaceae. The transcript is spliced from 3 exons. The record is from RefSeq and is a predicted model, not a curated record.
UCUGAUAUUGUAGAUGAAAAAUUCUUUGAGUACUUGAUAAAAAUUUGAGUUAUAGUUUGGGUACUAAUCUUCAAGCUCUUGCUUCUGAUACUGAUGGGUUUUUAGAGGUAUCAAAAAGGCACUCUCUUUUAUAUCCUUUUCUAGUUAUAUGUUAAGGGUAGUUGGUUUGAGAGUUAAGUUAGGGUUGGUUUGAGAGUUAAGUUAGGGUUUGAAUGCUUGUGCUUUCGAUGACAUUGCCAUUUUUUUGCAAGCUGGCUUUUACAAUCCAUGCUUGAGAACUUUGCAAUAUCCGGUCCAAAAUGUUGCAAAAAUUUGUCACCUCAGUUGCUGUUUUUUCAAGCAAGUUGAAUUUUCAAUGAUAGUGAAUAAGCACUUGCAAAAGAGCAGCAAUGGCGUUGGAUUAGGUGCACAACAUUGUAGAAAAUGUCCAAGUAACAUAUGGAUCGAAACUUUUAGUGGUGUGAUCGUGGAAGACGAAGAAGCAGAUCCUUUGAUUCUGGAUUUGCCUUUUACUUUAGCCCUACCGAUCUAUUUUGAUUGGGCAAUAUGUUUCCUCUAAUGGCGGUGCUGUCGCUGCUGAAGAACAAGCACCAUUUCUUGAUGUGAAAACUACCGAGGACAUGCUCAUUAUACCACAUGGAUCUUUCAACCAUUUUGGAUGCUUUGCGUUGUUACAAGAAUCUGAGAGGUGGUCUGGAAAUCAAGAUUUAAAAAUUGAAGGGAGGGCACAUCCAAUUAUGCUUUUGCCAAGUACUGAAAGUAUUCAUGUCUUCAGGGCUUGAGCUUGCUGUAAUAUUCUUAGAUUGCUUGGAAGUGUCUGCGCCUUGCAUAACCUCCAAGUGGAAGUCGAUCCAAAAACUUUUGGAUCGACAGUGGAAGCCUAAUGUUGCCACUGGUGCCGUUUGCAACUAUAUGAGCGAGGAUCUAAGGCAGCCAGGCAUUGCAGCAGGAUGGCAUGGCUUUAAGCAAUAGUUCCAGUUUCUUCAGUAACAUUUUUCCCAUGAUAAAAUUCUUGGGUUACGAGGUUCAUGUUUAUAUAGAUGUACAUAUAUUAUUGUUUUGAAUUAAAGAAGGUAGCAUGAGAAUAAGGGCAUACAAAUUGAAAGACAAGGAACCCUCAAUAGGGAUGGAAUAGAUGUUUUGAAAAUUUGUGGUGGCAGACAACGGGAAACUAUCCAAUCUCAUCAUUAUUGCGUAUGGUAGCCGUUACUGGGAUUUGUGAA